RNAcentral lists this long non-coding RNA (783 nucleotides) under Triticum aestivum (bread wheat). RNAcentral describes it as "long non-coding RNA (TAES_LNC017553)". Lineage: Eukaryota; Viridiplantae; Streptophyta; Magnoliopsida; Poales; Poaceae. The record is from RNAcentral.
AAUCGGCUCCCCCUUGCCCAUUUGUGGUCAUGAGAACAACAACCUCUUCCCCAACAUCAGUGCCAUUCAAACCGGAGCAACAAUCAUAAGCUUGGCACCAUGGCAGGUACCAUUAAAAGCUUUACAAUUUUCUCGACUUGGCUCCCGUGUUCAGCCUAGGUGGCAAGAUAUUGCUGACGUUUAACACAACAGCAAAAACGAAGAAUUGUACUAGUACAUCAUAAUACACAUGGUUUCCAUAAUUACACUCUUCUCAUACACGAAAAAUAUUAGGCCAACUUUCAACAGGUUGCUGUACUAUCUUUUUCAUGGCAUCUGCUUAUCCCCUCCCAAAGGAGAUCAGAUCCCUUAUUCACAGACUGACGCUUCAAUGCCAGGCCUGUUCUGUUAUUAUUGUAUCUUCUUGAUUAACAUCUGCAUAUAUCUCCUUCCGAAGGAGAUGAGAUCCCUCACUCACAGCUGCUUCUUAGCCAGAUCUUUGUUCUGCUCAAUGUACGGGUAGGCUCUCUGGUACUGCAGUAUCGCCCAGACGAGGUGCCUCCAGGAGAACUCAGGCCAGAGGGGGUCUGGGUUCUGCAGAUGGCUAAACGUCGUCUGCCACAGGAGGAAGUUGCUCAGCCGGGUCUCGCCCGAGGUCCGGAUCACGAUGUCCGGGUCUGGGCAGCCGGCGGUGUACAUGUGGCGAUCCAGGUCGGACACCGAGAUAUCCGAACAUGUGGCGAUCCAGGUCGGACACCGAGAUAUCCGGACACCGAUACUGCUUCGAUACGCGUAUCCCCUUUU